ACGUGUGAAAGUGAUCUGGCUGUGACAUCUGUCACCUCAUUGAUCGCCAGGGUUGAUUUGGCUGAUCUGGCUAGGCGAGUGUCCCCUUCCUCCCUCACUGCUGCAUGUGUGUCCCUCCCGAAGCUGUGCGCUCAGUCAAAGUGGACAACCAUCUCUGAUAGAGGAGGACCAGUCUUCGGCCAAGGGUAUAGAGUAGCUGUGCUCCCCUGCUAGAACCUCCAGACAAGCUCUCAAGAUUCAACAUAUUCAUGCAUGCAGUGGAGUUUUUUUUGAAGGCUUUCUC
This 283-nucleotide small nuclear RNA is filed under the name Aotus nancymaae (Ma's night monkey). RNAcentral describes it as "7SK RNA (ENSANAG00000007823.1)". It matches the Rfam family "7SK RNA", at positions 1 to 287 of the family's 331-position model. From Rfam's summary of the family: 7SK was discovered as an abundant small nuclear RNA in the mid-70s but a possible function has only recently been suggested. Two independent studies have found that 7SK RNA binds the CDK9/cyclin T complex (known as elongation factor P-TEFb). The record is from RNAcentral. Lineage: Eukaryota; Metazoa; Chordata; Mammalia; Primates; Aotidae.